ACAAUGAUGAUGUCACUGAUUCUACUGCUGGCCACCCUGGGGCUCCUUGUUCAGGAUUCAUCAGGAGAAAUCAUCCUGACUCAGUCUCCUGGAUCUCAGUCUGUUGUUCCAGGACAGACUGUCUCUCUCAGAUGUAAAGCCAGUUCAAGUGUUAGCAAUGAGGUAGACUGGUACCUUCAGAAACCUGGAGAAGCUCCUAAACUCUUGAUUUAUGAUGCUACAAACCGUCAGUCUGGAGUUUCAGAUCGUUUCAGUGGGAGUCAGUCUGGAACUGACUUCACUUUGACCAUCAGAGGAGUCCAGACUGAAGAUGUAGGAGUUUAUUACUGUCAGCAGGAUUACAGCUUCCCGUUCACACAGUGAUACAACAUCGUACAAAAACCUCUCGCAGCUGGUGAGGAACUGAUCUGAAUCAACAGCUGCACAGAAACCAUAACACUAGGUCAGGGGUGUCAAACUCAUUUUCACAGAGGGCCGCAUAAGCAAUACGGUCACCCUCAAAGGGCCAGUUGCAACUGUAAGACUGCAUAAACGUAACUACUCCUUAACAUAUUGUUAAAUAAUUGUCUCUUUAUUUCAUUAUGUAUUUAAGUUAAGGACACUUAUCAGAUGUAAAAAUAUAGCCUUAGUAAGAAAAUUUCUGUGUUAUUAUAACAUAAGUAAUUAAAUUCAUCAGAUUUAAAAACCCUCAUUACUUCAUCAAUCAAAGAUCAAACAUUUCAAGUAAAUAACAAAGACAAAUAUCAUCAAACAUAAUCUUUUCACUUUUUCACAGUCCAGAGGUACAGAAAGCUGCUAAUAACAUGAGGGACAGAUGUGGCAUUUGAUAAAACAAAUAGUCCAGCUGCACACAGCCUUGCAGAGGGGAUACAUCCAACUAAUGAGAGAUAGUUUGAUUACCUGGAAAAUGCAGAUGUAUAGGCUACUGGAGCCUAAGCCUAGUUCACACUACACAAUUCUUAGCCCAAUUUGCCGCUCGGCGACCGUCAGGCUGUGAUCGGGAGUAAAUCAGCGGUUGAUCGGUGUGAACUACUCAAAGACGCAUCAAAACGCCUCCUCAACACAUUUCUGCCAUAUCGCCGACAUCUGCCAGAUAUCUAGCACGCCAAAUAUCUGGAGGAGUCGGCCGACUCGACAUCCACAUCCAGCCAAUGAGAGAAGGCAGCUACUUUUCACCACAUGGCAAGGCAUUCACAAUUUCAAACGUCUUUACAAACGAAAGGUCUGGUUACAUUACAAUGACAAUGAGGUUUGAUUGUAUUCAUGUUGUGUAGAUUGUUGGAUUAGUUGUCAUUUAUGUACUCUUGUGGUAUUCAGUCUACCAUUGUUGGUAUUUGAUAAGCAUUGUUACCUGUGGAAAUAUUUGUAUAUUAUUAGUAUGUAUGGUAUGAAUGUGUGGUUUUGACUUGUGCAUCCACUGUUUCUAAAUGAGGUAUUGUUAUUAUUAUUAUUUUUUUUUAAUUAUUAAUAUUUUUUCUUUGAGAUUAUUGAUGAAGGAAGCAGCUAUUUUUUGUAUGUAUAAAUUCUUUGAUAGACUGGGGUGGGGUUUAAUAAGUUUUACUUCUUCCCACUCCAUUUCAAGCAUAAGUGUAUAAGUUAUUAUUAUUGUGUAUCUUUUCUGUUGUCACACUAUUUUGCUUGAAAUAAAUAAAUAAAUAA
Non-coding RNA from Micropterus salmoides (largemouth bass), 1659 nucleotides. Lineage: Eukaryota; Metazoa; Chordata; Actinopteri; Centrarchiformes; Centrarchidae. The record is from the annotation of a RefSeq genome assembly.